This 253-nucleotide ribosomal RNA is filed under the name uncultured bacterium. RNAcentral's name for it is "partial 16S ribosomal RNA". It matches the Rfam family "Bacterial small subunit ribosomal RNA", at positions 524 to 776 of the family's 1533-position model. The record is from RNAcentral.
UACGUAGGUGGCAAGCGUUGUCCGGAAUUAUUGGGCGUAGAGCGCGCGCAGGCGGUCCUUUAAGUCUGAUGUGAAAGCCCACGGCUCAACCGUGGAGGGUCAUUGGAAACUGGGGGACUUGAGUACAGAAGAGAAGAGCGGAAUUCCACGUGUAGCGGUGAAAUGCGUAGAUAUCUGGAGGAACAUCGGUGGCGAAGGCGACAUCCUGGACCGGUAUUGACGCUGAGGCGCGAAAGCCAGGGGAGCAAACGGG